UUUUUUUUUUUUGUCUCGACCAACAUUUUUACGUGAUCUACAAAAGGAGAAACAAAUACAUAAAUCUGUAUUCUUAACUUCAAAAUACUGUAUAAUCCGACUGCAAUAGGUAGUUUUCAAUCCAAAAUGAAGCAGUCUAUGUUUUGUUUGAGUAUGUUUAUCUUCAUUAUAUUCUUGGCUAACAGAGAAGUAAUGGCCCAAAGUAAUGAGGAUAUAAUCCAAGGAAAUCCUUCUAAGAAAUUUGGUAUAUUCGCAGCCUCUCUGGGGGGUGCGAUAAAUCAAGUUCCUCUGUCGGAAGUUUCGAUAAAUCCGCCUUCCGUCAUUAUUGAUAUACCAGGUCCUAAUGGUAAACGUUGAAUGCCAUUUCUCAUUCCUAACCAAAGAAGAGGAAAACAACUCUCAGUUGCUUUAAUCUUAUGAUGGUUAAUAAAUAAUUGUUUGGCUGAAUAUGUGUUUGCUUAUUGCUUUAGUCGAUCGGCAUCAAUAGAAUAAACGAAAAAAAUUAGAAUUAUAAUUCACCUAAGACUUGAUGCAAUAAUGUGUUGCAGUAAUUAUGCGAUAGUACGCAGUGUUCUAUAUUUCUUAACGUGGGAUUAAUUAUUUGAUAAAUGAAAAUAUUCGAAGAAAGUUAAAUUUCUUCCGAAAACAUUACCAUAAAU
This 659-nucleotide long non-coding RNA is filed under the name Androctonus crassicauda. Lineage: Eukaryota; Metazoa; Arthropoda; Arachnida; Scorpiones; Buthidae. The record is from RNAcentral.